Molecule: long non-coding RNA, 1761 nt
Filed under: Ananas comosus (pineapple)
Lineage: Eukaryota; Viridiplantae; Streptophyta; Magnoliopsida; Poales; Bromeliaceae
Description: long non-coding RNA (ACOM_LNC018568)
Source: RNAcentral
UACUAUUAGUAGCAAAAUUUUAUUGUUGCUACAGUUUUUUAGCCUUUGGAUCAACUCUUUUCAUUAUUUCUAGCCAUUGGAUUAAAUACUAUAACCCAGUGGGGACCACUCAACCCUAGCGGGACCACUCAACUCUAACACGACUAAUAUCAUCCUGACCCUACAAUUUUUCAUCCAAGGGUUAAAAACUUGAUAGCAAAAAGAGCGUUUUACUAUUAUAGUAUUCCAGCAUAAUUCUAUAUAUAUAUAUAUAUAUAUAUAUAUAUAUAUAUAUAUAUAUAUAUAUAGUUCGGCUAGGAUACUAUCGAUAGCACCAAGAGCUUGGUGCUACCGAGUUUUUCGUCAUUAGAUUUAACCCUUUGACUAUUUUAUUAUACUAUUCAACCAAUAACUCACUCAACCCUAGGGGCUCACAUCAUCCUAAUCAUAUAUUUUUUAUCCAAUGGUCGAAAACCUAAUAGCACCAAUAGCUUGGUGCUAUAUAUAUAUAUAUAUAUAUAGAAUUAGGCUAAUAUACUACUACCAAGUUUUUAGCUAUUGGAUUAAGAGACGUGCGGUUAGGAUGAUGUGGGUCCCCUAGGGUUGAAUGGGUGGUUGGUUGAAUAGUAUGAUCUAAUAAAUGAAAAUGAUCAAAAUGGUAGAUCUAACGGCGAAAAACUUGGUAGCACUAAGUGUUUCGUGCUAUUAAUAGCAUAGUAGCCGGACUCUCUCUCUCUAUAUAUGUAUAUAUAUUUUAUAGAGUUGAGCUAGAAUACUAUCGAUAGCAAACGAGCUCCGUUGCCACCCAUUUGUUUUUGAUGAUGGAGUUUCCAAAUCGACGAUCGGUACCGUUGAACAUGAUUUAUACCACUUGAAGUGUGAAAUCACAGGAGAAGUAUUUGAAGUUUUUCUUUUUUUUUUUAAUAUAUUUUUGAUUAAGUCUGUUAGAUUUAGGACAUAUUUGGUGUUAUCGUAGUGCGCCUUUUUUAAGAGUUUUUGUAACUCAACAUCACCGAGGGAUUAUUUCCCUCCGUACAUGGAGCGGAGGAGGUCAUAAAAAAGGCGUUUCAUCAAAAUUAAACUUUAGGUUAAAAUAAAUUUUGAAUUGAAAUAAAAUUCAAUGAAAAUUAUUUUAUUCUGUUUUUUGUUUCGUAACUAUGAAAGUAAAUUUUUUUUUAAUUCUAAUUUUUUUUUUAAAUUCUACUAUUUAUUUGACAAUAAGUGAAUAAUAUAAAACUAUAAUUUAUAUAUAAAUAAUAAAUAAUAAAUUAUAAUAUAAUAAAUAAAAAUAAUAUAAUUAUAUUUUUAUAUAAUUAAAAAACUUAAUCUAAAACAAAUAAAUUAUUUUUUACACAUAAAUUAUAGUAAUACAACAAUAAAAUUAUAAAUUAAAAAAAUAUAUAAAUACUUAACUAAUUAUUUUUUAUCAUAUUUUAAAUCUACAAACUAAAUUAAAAAUAUUAAAAAUUUAACUAAUCAAAAUUAUUAUAUUUUAAAUAUGCAAACUAAAUAAAAGAAUAAUUAGUGGCAUAAUUAAAUAUAUUUAAAUAUAACUAAUAUUACUCAUUAUAUUAUUUUAUUAAUUUUGCUUCAUCUCUUUUCAUCGUAAUUGACCUAAUUCGGUUCGGGAAAAGCCGAAAUCAAUUACACUGUUUCGGAUAAUUCAAUUUUCGACCGUAUCUUUAUUACAGCGAAACAAACAGCAAAAAUAAUUAUUUAUGACUGAAAACGAUUUCACCUCUAUCCACUUUCGUCCCAACAAAUAGGUUCAGAACAACAUGU